UACAAAGGGAAGCGAGGCCGCGAGGCGGNGCAAAACCCAAAAAGUAAAGUCCCAGUUCGGAUUGCAGGCUGCAACCCGCCUGCAUGAAGUUGGAAUCGCUAGUAAUCGCGGAUCAGAAUGCCGCGGUGAAUACGUUCCCGGGUCUUGUACACACCGCCCGUCACACCAUGGGAGUUGGAAAUGCCCGAAGUCGGUGACCUAACCGAAAGGGAGGAGCCGCCGAAGGCAGGUCUGAUAACUGGGGUGAAGUCGUAACAAGGUAGC
This 264-nucleotide ribosomal RNA is filed under the name uncultured bacterium. RNAcentral's name for it is "partial 16S ribosomal RNA". It matches the Rfam family "Bacterial small subunit ribosomal RNA", at positions 1238 to 1500 of the family's 1533-position model. The record is from RNAcentral.